Molecule: ribosomal RNA, 274 nt
Filed under: uncultured bacterium
Lineage: Bacteria
Description: partial 16S ribosomal RNA
Rfam family: Bacterial small subunit ribosomal RNA
Source: RNAcentral
AUACGAAAGGUGCAAGCGUUGUUCGGAUUUACUGGGCGUAAAGAGAGUGUAGGUGGGUUAUUAAGUCGGAUGUGAAAUCCCGGGGCUCAACCUCGGAACUGCAUUCGAUACUGAUAGGCUAGAGUUUGGGAGGGGUAAGCGGAAUUCCGUGUGUAGCAGUGAAAUGCGUAGAUAUACGGAGGAACACCUGAGGCGAAGGCGGCUUACUGGACCAAUACUGACACUGAGACUCGAAAGCGUGGGUAGCAAACAGGAUUAGAAACCCUUGUAGUCC